Molecule: ribosomal RNA, 402 nt
Filed under: Fusobacteriota bacterium
Lineage: Bacteria; Fusobacteriati; Fusobacteriota
Description: Fusobacteria bacterium partial 16S ribosomal RNA
Rfam family: Bacterial small subunit ribosomal RNA
Source: RNAcentral
UGGGGAAUAUUGCACAAUGGAGGGAACUCUGAUGCAGCGACGCCGCGUGAACGAAGAAGGCUUUCGAGUCGUAAAGUUCUUUUAUAUGGGAAGAUAAUGACGGUACCAUAAGAAAAAGCCCCGGCUAACUACGUGCCAGCAGCCGCGGUAAUACGUAGGGGCUAGCGUUGUCCGGAAUCACUGGGCGUAAAGGGUUAGCAGGCGGAAAUGCAAGUCAGGUGUAAAAGGCAGUAGCUUAACUACUGUAAGCAUUUGAAACUGCAUAUCUUGAGAAGAGUAGAGGUAAGUGGAAUUUUUAGUGUAGCGGUGAAAUGCGUAGAUAUUAAAAAGAAUACCGGUGGCGAAGGCGACUUACUGGGCUCAUUCUGACGCAGAGGAACGAAAGCGUGGGUAGCAAACAGG